This 253-nucleotide ribosomal RNA is filed under the name uncultured bacterium. RNAcentral's name for it is "partial 16S ribosomal RNA". It matches the Rfam family "Bacterial small subunit ribosomal RNA", at positions 524 to 776 of the family's 1533-position model. The record is from RNAcentral.
UACGGGGGGGGCAAGCGUUGUUCGGAAUUACUGGGCGUAAAGGGCUCGUAGGCGGCCAACUAAGUCAGACGUGAAAUCCCCGGGCUCAACCCGGGAACUGCGUCCGAUACUGGUAGGCUUGAAUUCGGGAGAGGGAUGCGGAAUUCCAGGUGUAGCGGUGGAAUGCGCAGAUAUCAGGAAGAACACCGGUGGCGAAGGCGGCUCUCUGGGCCUUACCUGACGCUGAGGAGCGAAAGCGUGGGUAGCGAACAGG